GAUGAAGAACGUAGCGAAAUGCGAUAAGUAGUGUGAAUUGCAGAAUUCAGUGAAUCAUCGAAUCUUUGAACGCACAUUGCGCCCCUUGGUAUUCCAUGGGGCAUGCCUGUUCGAGCGUCAUUUGUACCUUCAAGCUUUGCUUGGUGUUGGGUGUUUGUCUCGCCUUUGCGUGUAGACUCGCCUUAAAACAAUUGGCAGCCGGCGUAUUGAUUUCGGAGCGCAGUACAUCUCGCGCUUUGCACUCAUAACGACGACGUCCAAAAGUACAUUUUUACACUCUUGACCUCGGAUCAGGUAGGGAUACCCGCUGAACUUAAGCAUAUCAAUAAGCGGAGGA
RNAcentral lists this unclassified non-coding RNA (337 nucleotides) under soil metagenome. RNAcentral's name for it is "partial contains 5.8S ribosomal RNA, internal transcribed spacer 2, and large subunit ribosomal RNA". The stretch from base 1 to 120 matches the Rfam family "5.8S ribosomal RNA", at positions 35 to 154 of the family's 154-position model. The record is from RNAcentral.